UACGGGGGGGGCAAGCGUUGUUCGGAAUUACUGGGCGUAAAGGGCUCGUAGGUGGCCAACUAAGUCAGACGUGAAAUCCCUCGGCUUAACCGGGGAACUGCGUCUGAUACUGGAUGGCUUGAGUUUGGGAGAGGGACGCGGAAUUCCAGGUGUAGCGGUGAAAUGCGUGGAUAUCUGGAGGAACACCGGUGGCGAAGGCGGCGUCCUGGACCAACACUGACACUGAUGAGCGAAAGCCAGGGGAGCAAACGGG
RNAcentral lists this ribosomal RNA (253 nucleotides) under uncultured bacterium. RNAcentral's name for it is "partial 16S ribosomal RNA". It matches the Rfam family "Bacterial small subunit ribosomal RNA", at positions 524 to 776 of the family's 1533-position model. The record is from RNAcentral.